GGAGGCUUGGCAGAGUGGUCGAUUGCGGCGGUCUUGAAAACCGUUGACCCUUCGCGGGGUCCGUGGGUUCGAAUCCCACAGCCUCCG
Molecule: transfer RNA, 87 nt
Filed under: Allosediminivita pacifica
Lineage: Bacteria; Pseudomonadati; Pseudomonadota; Alphaproteobacteria; Rhodobacterales; Paracoccaceae
Rfam family: tRNA
About the family: Transfer RNA (tRNA) molecules are approximately 80 nucleotides in length. Their secondary structure includes four short double-helical elements and three loops (D, anti-codon, and T loops).
Source: Rfam by way of RNAcentral